AGUGAACGCUGGCGGCGUGCCUAACACAUGCAAGUCGAACGGAUCUUAAGAGCUUGCUCUCAAGGUUAGUGGCGCACGGGUGAGUAACACGUAGCUAACCUGCCCCAUAGUAAGGGACAACAGUUGGAAACGACUGCUAAUACCUUAUACUCCUUCCCUACCUAAGUAGAGUCGGGAAAGUUUUUUCGCUAUGGGAUGGGGCUGCGGCCUAUCAGCUUGUUGGGGAGGUAAUGGCUCACCAAGGCUAUGACGGGUAGCUGGUCUGAGAGGAUGAUCAGCCACAUUGGAACUGAGACACGGUCCAAACUCCUACGGGAGGCAGCAGUGGGAAUUUUACACAAUGGGCGAAAGCCUGAUGUAGCAACGCCGCGUGGAGGAUGACGGAUUUAGGUCUGUAAACUCCUUUUAUAAGGGAAGAAAUUUGACGGUACCUUAUGAAUAAGCACCGGCUAACUCCGUGCCAGCAGCCGCCGUAA
Molecule: ribosomal RNA, 476 nt
Filed under: uncultured bacterium
Lineage: Bacteria
Description: partial 16S ribosomal RNA
Rfam family: Bacterial small subunit ribosomal RNA
Source: RNAcentral